This 253-nucleotide ribosomal RNA is filed under the name uncultured bacterium. Its description in RNAcentral is "partial 16S ribosomal RNA". It matches the Rfam family "Bacterial small subunit ribosomal RNA", at positions 524 to 776 of the family's 1533-position model. The record is from RNAcentral.
UACGUAGGUGGUAAGCGUUAUCCGGAUUUAUUGGGUGUAAAGGGCGUGUAGGCGGGAGCGCAAGUCAGAUGUGAAAACUCAGGGCUCAACCCUGAGCCUGCAUUUGAAACUGUGUUUCUUGAGUGCUGGAGAGGCAAUCGGAAUUCCGUGUGUAGCGGUGAAAUGCGUAGAUAUACGGAGGAACACCAGUGGCGAAGGCGGAUUGCUGGACAGUAACUGACGCUGAGGCGCGAAAGCGUGGGGAGCAAACAGG